This 513-nucleotide ribosomal RNA is filed under the name uncultured bacterium. RNAcentral's name for it is "partial 16S ribosomal RNA". It matches the Rfam family "Bacterial small subunit ribosomal RNA", at positions 28 to 523 of the family's 1533-position model. The record is from RNAcentral.
GAUGAACGCUGGCGGCGUGCCUAAUACAUUCAAGUCGAGCGAACAGACGAGGAGCUUGCUCCUCUGACGUUAGCGGCGGACGGGUGAGUAACACGUGGAUAACCUACCUAUAAGACUGGGAUAACUUCGGGAAACCGGAGCUAAUACCGGAUAAUAUAUUGAACCGCAUGGUUCAAUAGUGAAAGACGGUUUUGCUGUCACUUAUAGAUGGAUCCGCGCCGCAUUAGCUAGUUGGUAAGGUAACGGCUUACAAAGGCAACGAUACGUAGCCGACCCGGGGGGGUGAGCGGGCACACUGGAACUGAGACACGGUCCAGCCUCCUACGGGAGGCAGCAGUAGGGAGUCUUCCGCAAUGGGCGAAAGCCUGACGUAGGAACGCCGCGUGGGUGAUGAAGGUCUUCGGAUCGUAAAACUCUGUUAGUAGGGAGGAACAAAUGUGUAAGUAACUGUGCACGUCUUGACGGUACCUAAUCAGAAAGCCACGGCUAACUACGUGCCAGCCGCCGCCGUAA